UAAGUGAAUAGUGAAAUCUUGUGGCUCAACCAUGAGGCUAUUAUUCAAACUGGCAGACUCGAGAAUGAGAGAGGUCACUGGAAUUCCCUGUGUAGGAGUGAAAUCCGUAGAUAUAGGGAGGAACACCAAUGGCGUAGGCAGGUGACUGGCUCAUUUCUGACACUGAGGCACGAAAGCGUGGGAGCGAACGGGAUUAGAUACCCCGGUAGUCCACGCCGUAAACGAUGGAUACUA
Molecule: ribosomal RNA, 234 nt
Filed under: uncultured Candidatus Saccharibacteria bacterium
Lineage: Bacteria; Candidatus Saccharimonadota
Description: partial 16S ribosomal RNA
Rfam family: Bacterial small subunit ribosomal RNA
Source: RNAcentral